GACGAACGCUGGCGGCGUGCUUAACACAUGCAAGUCGAACGGAAAGGCCCUGCUUUUGUGGGGUGCUCGAGUGGCGAACGGGUGAGUAACACGUGAGUAACCUGCCCUUGACUUUGGGAUAACUUCAGGAAACUGGGGCUAAUACCGGAUAGGAGCUCCUGCUGCAUGGUGGGGGUUGGAAAGUUGCGGCGGUUGGGGAUGGACUCGCGGCUUAUCAGCUUGUUGGUGGGGUAGUUGCUUACCAAGGCUUUGACGGGUAGCCGGCCUGAGAGGGUGACCGGCGACAUGGGGCCUGAGAGACGGCCCAGACUCCUACGGGAGGCAGCAGUGGGGAGUCUUGCACAAUGGGCGGAAGCCUGAUGCAGCGGCGCCGCGGGCGGGAUGACGGCCUUGGGGGUAUAAACCGCUUUCGCCUGUGACGAAGCGUGAGUGACGGUAAUGGGUAAAGAAGCACCGGCUAACUACGUG
RNAcentral lists this ribosomal RNA (468 nucleotides) under uncultured bacterium. RNAcentral describes it as "partial 16S ribosomal RNA". It matches the Rfam family "Bacterial small subunit ribosomal RNA", at positions 28 to 507 of the family's 1533-position model. The record is from RNAcentral.